This 465-nucleotide ribosomal RNA is filed under the name Vreelandella stevensii. RNAcentral describes it as "partial 16S ribosomal RNA". It matches the Rfam family "Bacterial small subunit ribosomal RNA", at positions 338 to 795 of the family's 1533-position model. Lineage: Bacteria; Pseudomonadati; Pseudomonadota; Gammaproteobacteria; Oceanospirillales; Halomonadaceae. The record is from RNAcentral.
CCUGCGGGGGGCAGCAGUGGGGAAUAUUGGACAAUGGGCGAAAGCCUGAUCCAGCCAUGCCGCGUGUGUGAAGAAGGCCUUCGGGUUGUAAAGCACUUUCAGUGGGGAAGAAAGCCUUGGGGCUAAUACCCUCGAGGAAGGACAUCACCCACAGAAGAAGCACCGGCUAACUCCGUGCCAGCAGCCGCGGUAAUACGGAGGGUGCGAGCGUUAAUCGGAAUUACUGGGCGUAAAGCGCGCGUAGGCGGUCUGAUAAGCCGGUUGUGAAAGCCCCGGGCUCAACCUGGGAACGGCAUCCGGAACUGUCAGGCUAGAGUGCAGGAGAGGAAGGUAGAAUUCCCGGUGUAGCAGUGAAAUGCGUAGAGAUCGGGAGGAAUACCAGUGGCGAAGGCGGCCUUCUGGACUGACACUGACGCUGAGGUGCGAAAGCGUGGGUAGCAAACAGGAUUAGAUACCCUGGUAGUC